RNAcentral lists this long non-coding RNA (992 nucleotides) under Ananas comosus (pineapple). Its description in RNAcentral is "long non-coding RNA (ACOM_LNC026745)". Lineage: Eukaryota; Viridiplantae; Streptophyta; Magnoliopsida; Poales; Bromeliaceae. The record is from RNAcentral.
AUCACAUUGAAUUGAAUAUAGGCCAAUUUGCAUAAAAAAUCCACAAAUUUUGAGCUUUUGCAAAACUGGACCACCUUUUUUUUAUUUUGCAGAUUCAGUUCAAAUUUUCAGCAAACUGAUCAAAAUACUCUUAUUAUUUUUUUCUCUCUCCUCUUUUUUUUCUCUCGUUUAUUUUUUUCUCUCUCUCCGAAGAAGGCAGCGAAGGCAGAGAAGAUGGCGGAAACGGCCCGCUUCGCCUCUCACCCUCAUGCCCUCGCCCUCACCCUCGCCCGCGCACCCACCGCCUUCCUCGCCUCCGACCCCACUGAGACCGCGCUGCGACUUUUUUUUUUACCCCCUCUUCGACCUCCUCCACCAUCUCUGAUGACAGCGCCUCUUUCGCCCUUCCCUGCCUUUUCACCCUCAUGCCCUCGCCCUCGCCUGCACACCUCCCGCAUUCCUCACCUCCGACCCCGUUGAGACCGUGCCGCGACUUUUUUUGUCCCUCUCCGACCCUCCUCCACCAUCUCCAACGAUGGCGCCUCUUGCCCUUCUCGCCCUCUCCCUACUCCUCCGCCUCUACCUCCGCCUCCUCCGCUUUCUCCAACGACGAUGUUUCUCCGCUAAUGCCGAUGUCACGGAGGUCGCUGCGGCGCCGCAGCCUCGGAGUGGGGGGUCCUUAGUGGCAUCGUCGCUAGGGCAUUGGCCGUUGGCGGAGAACCGUGACUAAAAAAAAAUUAUAGAAAAAGGAAGAAGAAGAUGAAAUUGCAAUGUUAAAAUAAAUUUACAUUGUUUUAAAUUUUUUUUGCACUGUUUUAAAUAAAAGUUUCACUCUUUGAGACAGAAAUUACACUCUUUAGGAUCGGAUUUAUAUUUUUUAGGACAAAGUUACACUAUUUAGGUGAAAUUUACACCAUUUCUCUUUUCCUUCUUCUUUCUCCAAUUUACACCAUUUUUUUUCUUUUCCUCUUCUUCCUCCUCGCUUUUUAGUUUAUAGUAAACUUUAAGAUAUU